RNAcentral lists this microRNA (21 nucleotides) under Homo sapiens (human). RNAcentral describes it as "hsa-miR-6800-3p". Lineage: Eukaryota; Metazoa; Chordata; Mammalia; Primates; Hominidae. The record is from miRBase by way of RNAcentral.
CACCUCUCCUGGCAUCGCCCC